Molecule: long non-coding RNA, 1486 nt
Organism: Mytilus trossulus (common blue mussel)
Lineage: Eukaryota; Metazoa; Mollusca; Bivalvia; Mytilida; Mytilidae
Exons: 2
Source: RefSeq, a predicted model, not a curated record
GUAUUUGAUAUGCAAAGUAGUUCGCCGACAGUAUGAAAACCUUGAUAAAAUUUAGCUAGGAUUGUGCAAAUAUGUUUGUGGAUUUGGAAUAUGAUUCAUAAUUCUGGAAAGAGGGAAUACACCAUGAUUUUACUGUGUGAGGUCAGUGAUGUUUGGUUGUUUUGAAUCCAGCUUCUUUUACAGUAAUUUGGACAAACACGCCUUUGAGGAAGAAAUAAAAAAGACUUGUUGAUAUUUAUUGAAUAUAUUGAGGAAAUAUAACAAAACAUGUUAUCCAUUGUUUGUGAACCAAUAUGUUCAUUUGGUUCCAAAUUUGUUUAAAAUACCCAUUCCUAUUUUGGUGUGGGUAACCACUACAUUUCAUUCACAUUUUUAUAGGAUAGGGAUAUCAAUUAUGAUCAAUGCAUGAAGACAUUCAUCUCUCACCUAACUUACCACAUUCAUAAACUGGUUACUUCUUACUUCUUUAAGUACCCAGUAUACUCAUAGAUUAUCGUUGGUCAUCUCAACAACAUUGAUUUUCUAGCUGGAGCUGGUACAGCAAAAUUGAGAAAAGCAAUCGAGUUGAAAUGACCAAUGAUAAUCUGUACAUCGAUAUUUACAUAUGGUGACAUUGUUAAUUUCCUUGACAAUAACAUGUGUGCCCUAAGUUUCUAGCGAUUAUUUUUCAUUUUACUCUACUGUGCAGAGAAUGGCUAUUAUCAGUCAGUAAGAUCAAGGGAAAAUUUCUUAAAAUAGCAAUAACUAUCAUUUUAUACUACUUCCAAAUAUUCAACUGAUAAAACAAUCUGCAAACAGAUAUUUGAUUGAAUAAGGAACAACAUCAACAGUUAAAUGUAGGAUAAAAAAUCUUACCUGGUAAUUCAGUUAAAUAAAUUUCUUUAUAUUUUAUAACUUUAUUCCGUUUUUAGAAUCUUUUGGUAUGUUUCACAUAAAAGCUUGCAACUUAGAUUGAUCUUAGGACAAAAAUGUUUCAUUUAAAUGAUACAUACCCUUCCCUGAUUUCUCCAUGAAGACAUUUUUUAUUCUUUUUCAAGUAAGAUUUUAUUCCACAACAGCCUUUUCUCUGUGUUGUUCCAUUGACAUAAAGCUUAUCACGACAACAUAGAUCUCUAUCCUUGUUAUAUUCUUUUUUCCCACAGUAAUGUUGUGUUUCCUUAAAUUUGACAUGUUCGUUACUACAAAAUAAUAUUCAUUGUCAAGCUUCAGGUUUUUUUUUUAACAACAAAUAUAUUCUUUAUUCUAAAGAUAUCUUGUUACAAUUAAACUUCACUGUCCAAGCGCCAGUGGAGUAUUCGUGUGAAAAAACUUCUGAGUUGCCAGGAACAUACUCAGAAUAUAAUAAACAAUAUUACAAAAACUAUUACAAUAUAUUCAACUUAUUCUAUUAAAUAUUUUCUUCAAAUUUAUGAAAAAUACAUUUUGAGAAAUUAUUUUGCUUUUAUUCAAAACCCUUCUUAAUGCCUUUAUAAACAAUUCAUACACA